RNAcentral lists this long non-coding RNA (681 nucleotides) under Lathyrus oleraceus (garden pea). RNAcentral's name for it is "Pisum sativum (pea) long non-coding RNA (PSAT_LNC029157)". Lineage: Eukaryota; Viridiplantae; Streptophyta; Magnoliopsida; Fabales; Fabaceae. The record is from RNAcentral.
GUCUUUCUUGUGAAAUCUUUGUGCGACAAACAACAACACCCUUGCUUGGCGGUUUCAUCGGCAGAAAUACAGCCAACAUGCAAGAAAUUCCUUUACUCUUCUUGGCUAUUGACCCUUCCUCUUCACCGAUUAGAUUUACGUUUAGUGGUUCUUCUUUCACAAAAAAAAUUGUUUUCUUGAUAGUAAUUUGUUGCACGCCUCCAAUUGUCCCUUUUCCCUCACCUUUCUUCACUUUUGCUUUUAACUUUGAGCGAUCCGAAACAACACUCUCACGGCCUCCUUCUUUAUUAGAGUUCUCUUAGCUCUACUUUUUUGACCAUGGAUAUUGUUAAGAAAUGUGGUUGGCCUAACUCAAUACUACAAAACCGAUUGGUAGAGUGAGGAUUGCCCCCACUUAUAAACACAUGUUCUUGAUAGUAAUUUGUUGCACGCCUCCAAUUGUCCCUUUUCCCCACCUUUCUUCACUUUUGCUUUUAACUUUGAGCGAUCCGAAACAACACUCUCACGGCCUCCUUCUUUAUUAGAGUUCUCUUCUUAGCUCCUACUUUUUUGACCAUGGAUAUUGUUAAGAAAUGUGGUCGGGCCUAACUCAAUACUACAAAACCGAUUGGUAGAGUGAGGAUUGCCCCCACUUAUAAACACAUGUUCAGGCCAUAUAUUGUCCGAUGUGGGACUCUUAAC